UGGCAGAAAGAGAGAAAGGAUCCACCACUGUGUUCUACUCUACUACUAGUCUCUUGCUAGCUACACAUACACAACACUGCUAUAUAGCAGCUCUCUACAUAUCAUAAUAUAAUAUCUGACCUAUACUACUACCCUAUUCCUAUAACACAGCUCUUGAUCAAUCAUCAUGCGUCUGCUAUUCCCUUUAUAGCUUUCUUAGCUGUUCUUAAAUUUUGAAUUCAAUUUCUUCCUUUUCUUCCUAACUGUGCAUGUAUAUUUCUUUCCUUUUAAAUUCACUGUUUCACAAGAUGGGUGUUGUCUUUAUGAUUCCUUCUUAACUAUUGUAUCUACCCUCUCUUGUACUAUCCUUUCUUUCUUCCCUAUAUAUAUUCUCCUUAUCUAGAUUCCUUCUUGCACUUGUGUUUGUUUCUAGUAAUACCCUAGUUUUCUACUUUGGCUUUUUCUUUCCUUUGGAUACUUCAAUUUCCUUGUUCUUUCUUAGCUUACAAAUAGUUUUUAAAUUAUGCACCUUCUUUAGUAUAUUUUUCUCCUUCAAGUUAGGGUUUUGAUACUUGCAUCUAUUUGAACUCUUUCAUUUUUUGUGCUUUUCUAUGUGUCUUUGGUUGUUCUUGCUGUAAAAUAUUGAUAUAACCCUAGAGAGUAGUGAAGAAUGAUUCAAGAAAGUUCACAAAGGAAAAAGUGAAGCUGCCAGCAUGAUCUAAGCUUUGGUUAGAGAGCUUUCCUUUGGAUGGAUAGAGAUAACCCUAACCGUGACUAGGUCAUGCUGUGACAGCCUCACUCUUUCCUAUUUUGUGGACCACAUUUUCCAAUCAAAAAUCCUAACGAUCUCUUCCAACAACUGAAAGACACAACAAACUUUAAACAUAAAAGUGUGUUUCCUAAAAGCAGGUUUUGAAGAUUAUUGGAUGCUUGCGGUUCUAAACUUUGGUUUUUAGCUUCAAGUAAUGGUAUAUGGGAGGAAAAAAAUAAAGCUAGGGCUUUGAUCUACAAUAUGAAACCUUGUUUUUCACCAUUUUCUUGUAUGGUGUUUAAAGCUUAAUUUUCCUUUAUAAGCAAAGAGAACAUGAAUUAACUAUACCGUGUUCAUGCAAAUGUUGGUGAGUUUUGUUGGUGUUUUCUGUAGCUUUUUCUGGUGAAGUGAUAGUUCAAAAUGUA
This is a long non-coding RNA of Lathyrus oleraceus (garden pea), 1155 nucleotides long. RefSeq lists it as uncharacterized. NCBI's taxonomy places the organism in Eukaryota, Viridiplantae, Streptophyta, Magnoliopsida, Fabales, Fabaceae. The record is from RefSeq and is a predicted model, not a curated record. The transcript is spliced from 2 exons.